Molecule: non-coding RNA, 94 nt
Organism: Acanthosepion pharaonis
Lineage: Eukaryota; Metazoa; Mollusca; Cephalopoda; Sepiida; Sepiidae
Source: the annotation of a GenBank genome assembly
AACACCGGCUCCCGUAGGAUCACCGAAGUUAAGCAACGUCGAGCUUUGUCAGUAUCUAGAUGGGUGAUCGAUUUGGAAUGCUAGAUGCUGCAAG